Long non-coding RNA from Saccostrea echinata, 609 nucleotides. RefSeq lists it as uncharacterized. The record is from RefSeq and is a predicted model, not a curated record. NCBI's taxonomy places the organism in Eukaryota, Metazoa, Mollusca, Bivalvia, Ostreida, Ostreidae. The transcript is spliced from 3 exons.
CGAACUCUACAACAAAUCCUCUUUUGACAGACAUUUCCGUUGCUGCGGGGAGUCUUUGUUUGAUAACAGGCGGGAACAGUGCUGUAAAUUGGCAGGUAUAACCGAAGUCCAGUCCUCAAAUGGGCACUGUUGUGGGACAGGUGUUUACAAUUCCUCCAGUCAAAUCUGUUGUUGUAACAACGUAUACGACUCAUCAAAUGGAACAAUUCAAUGUUGUGGGAACGGUUCAUAUGACAAAAGACAACAAACAUGCUGUCAUGGUAAAGUGCAUAACAUAAAACACGUGAACGACCCUAAAUGUUGUGGUAAAGACGUAUAUUCAACAACGUCACACUUAUGCUGCAGUGGUGACCAAAUAAUAAAGAAAAAUGCUUCUGACCACGAUCAAUGCUGUCUUCGGAAUUCAGAGUUCUACUCCUGCAAACAUCAGCCAAGGAGACCAUCGAUAAUUUGUGGGUACCAGCGGUAUAACAGUCAGACAGAUCUUUGCUGCAAUAAUCAGGUCCACAAGGGCGCCAAGGAAACUGGAAGAGAAUGCUGUCACCCAGGAAAAAGGGAUUAUGAUCCAAUAAAUGAGAAAUGUUGUCAUGGUUUGGUGAAAAGUAUUGC